UCGUGCUAAGCGGAGGGCUCGGGGUCCUCUAUCAACCGCAAAUCCCCGUCAUGGCGGGCUGAAUUCCUAUCAGAGGGCUCUGGCGGUGAUCGCAGCCCUUUCCCGAAGCGUCGAAGGAUGGGUUCCACACGGCGGAAACCCGUGAACCCCGCCAGAUCCGGAAGGAAGCAACGGUAAGCGCCAGUUUCCGGGUGAUGUGGAGGCGCCUGUCCCGAGCGGAAGGUUAGGGAAAUGGGUCAUUGUCAGGGUUCGAAGGUGGGUGCACGG
RNAcentral lists this signal recognition particle RNA (267 nucleotides) under Candidatus Rifleibacteriota bacterium. Its description in RNAcentral is "signal recognition particle sRNA large type". It matches the Rfam family "Bacterial large signal recognition particle RNA". Rfam says of the family: The signal recognition particle (SRP) is a universally conserved ribonucleoprotein involved in the co-translational targeting of proteins to membranes. Archaeal SRP consists of a 7S RNA and homologues of the eukaryotic SRP19 and SRP54 proteins. The record is from RNAcentral. Lineage: Bacteria; Candidatus Rifleibacteriota.